UUUUCAGUAAUACAUAAAUUUCUGUCGUUAAAAUCUAAAACAUUGUUACAUACACGAGCGAAUCGUACAAAUUGAUAUAUAUAAACACCGUGAUAUGGAUAAUUAACGAUAGGAAAUGAGAAAUCAUCUCUUCUAUCAUAAAUUUUAGAGGAACACAUACAUUACGAAAAUCAAAUAAAUAGUAACCAGAUGGUAUGUCAAAUCGACAUAAUGUUUUGCUAAAGAAAUUAAAAAGUCUGAACAAAGUUUCCAACUGACUAUUUGACCUUCGUUCAUAGCGAUGUUUUUCCUUUGAAUAACGUAACAAUCUUAACUCAAUUACCACAUAGCAAAAACACAAAAUGUAACUCAUCAUAGAUGCAAGAUUAAAAUAAAUUUUGUAUUUACGCCAGACGCGCGUUUCGUCUACAACAGACUCAUCAGUGACGCUCAAAUUCAAAAAAGUAAAAAAGGCCCAAAAAGUGCGAAGUUGAAAAGCACACCUUAUUGAAUUCAAUAGAGUGAACCCUUUUC
RNAcentral lists this long non-coding RNA (513 nucleotides) under Mytilus galloprovincialis (Mediterranean mussel). Lineage: Eukaryota; Metazoa; Mollusca; Bivalvia; Mytilida; Mytilidae. The record is from RNAcentral.